RNAcentral lists this transfer RNA (88 nucleotides) under Eubacterium sp. Its description in RNAcentral is "tRNA-Ser". It matches the Rfam family "tRNA". Rfam says of the family: Transfer RNA (tRNA) molecules are approximately 80 nucleotides in length. Their secondary structure includes four short double-helical elements and three loops (D, anti-codon, and T loops). RNAcentral also lists the same sequence under 1 other name. Lineage: Bacteria; Bacillati; Bacillota; Clostridia; Eubacteriales; Eubacteriaceae. The record is from RNAcentral.
GGAGUCGUAUCGAAGUGGUCAUAACGGGGCUGACUCGAAAUCAGUUUGGCGGGUAACUGCCACGAGGGUUCGAAUCCCUCCGACUCCG